Molecule: ribosomal RNA, 253 nt
Filed under: uncultured bacterium
Lineage: Bacteria
Description: partial 16S ribosomal RNA
Rfam family: Bacterial small subunit ribosomal RNA
Source: RNAcentral
UACGUAGGGCGCAAGCGUUAUCCGGAAUUAUUGGGCGUAAAGAGCUCGUAGGCGGUUUGUCGCGUCUGCCGUGAAAGUCCGGGGCUCAACUCCGGAUCUGCGGUGGGUACGGGCAGACUAGAGUGAUGUAGGGGAGACUGGAAUUCCUGGUGUAGCGGUGAAAUGCGCAGAUAUCAGGAGGAACACCCGUGGCGAAGGCGGUUCUCUGGGACGGUACUGACGCUGAGACGCGAAAGCGUGGGGAGCGAACAGG